ACGGCUCAGUAACACGUGGAUAACCUGCCCUUAGGUUCGGCAUAACUCCGGGAAACUGGAGAUAAUUCCGAAUAAACCAUUCAUGCUGGAAUGCUUUUUGGUUCAAAGACUUCGGUUGCCUAAGGAUGGAUCUGCGGUCUAUCAGGUAGUAGUGGGUGUAAGGUACCUACUAGCCUACGACGGAUAUGGGUUGUGAGAGCAAGAGCCCAGAGAUGGAUUCUGAGACAUGAAUCCAGGCCCUACGGGGCGCAGCAGGCGCGAAAACUUUACAAUGCGGGAAACCGCGAUAAGGGGAUACCGAGUGCCAGCAUAUUAUGUUGGCUGUCCACAUGUGUAAACGGCAUGUGUUAGCAAGGGCCGGGCAAGACCGGUGCCAGCCGCCGCGGUAACACCGGCGGCCCGAGUGGUAAUCACUUUUAUUGGGUCUAAAGGGUCCGUAGCCGGUUUGAUCAGUUCUUCGGGAAAUCUGACAGCUCAACUGUUAGGCUUCCGGGGAAUACUGUCAGACUUGGGACCGGGAGAGGUAAGAGGUACUACAGGGGUAGGAGUGAAAUCUUGUAAUCCCUGUGGGACCACCAGUGGCGAAGGCGUCUUACCAGAACGGGUCCGACGGUGAGGGACGAAAGCUGGGGGCACGAACCGGAUUAGAUACCCGGGUAGUCCCAGCCGUAAACGAUGUUCGCUAGGUGUCAGGGACGGUGCGACCGUUUCUGGUGCCGUAGGGAAGCCGUGAAGCGAACCACCUGGGAAGUACGGCCGCAAGGCUGAAACUUAAAGGAAUUGGCGGGGAAACAC
Molecule: ribosomal RNA, 795 nt
Filed under: uncultured archaeon
Lineage: Archaea
Description: bacterial SSU rRNA
Rfam family: Archaeal small subunit ribosomal RNA
Source: RNAcentral